UACGGGGGGGGCAAGCGUUGUUCGGAAUUACUGGGCGUAAAGAGCUCGUAGGCGGUCUGUCGCGUCGGCUGUGAAAACCCGAGGCUCAACCUCGGGCCUGCAGUCGAUACGGGCAAACUAGAGUACUGCAGGGGAGACUGGAAUUCCUGGUGUAGCGGUGAAAUGCGCAGAUAUCAGGAGGAACACCGGUGGCGAAGGCGGGUCUCUGGGCCUUACCUGACGCUGAGGCGCGAAAGCUAGGGGAGCGAACAGG
This 253-nucleotide ribosomal RNA is filed under the name uncultured bacterium. RNAcentral's name for it is "partial 16S ribosomal RNA". It matches the Rfam family "Bacterial small subunit ribosomal RNA", at positions 524 to 776 of the family's 1533-position model. The record is from RNAcentral.